GAUCCUGCUCAGGAUGAACGCUAGCUACAGGCUUAACACAUGCAAGUCGAGGGGCAGCAUGGUCUUAGCUUGCUAAGGCCGAUGGCGACCGGCGCACGGGUGAGUAACACGUAUCCAACCUGCCGUCUACUCUUGGACAGCCUUCUGAAAGGAAGAUUAAUACAAGAUGGCAUCAUGAGUCCGCAUGUUCACAUGAUUAAAGGUAUUCCGGUAGACGAUGGGGA
This 224-nucleotide ribosomal RNA is filed under the name uncultured bacterium. RNAcentral describes it as "partial 16S ribosomal RNA". It matches the Rfam family "Bacterial small subunit ribosomal RNA", at positions 15 to 231 of the family's 1533-position model. The record is from RNAcentral.